Molecule: ribosomal RNA, 2369 nt
Filed under: Staphylococcus aureus subsp. aureus CIG1750
Lineage: Bacteria; Bacillati; Bacillota; Bacilli; Caryophanales; Staphylococcaceae
Description: bacterial LSU rRNA
Rfam family: Bacterial large subunit ribosomal RNA
Source: RNAcentral
CCUGAAACCGUGUGCUUACAAGUAGUCAGAGCCCGUUAAUGGGUGAUGGCGUGCCUUUUGUAGAAUGAACCGGCGAGUUACGAUUUGAUGCAAGGUUAAGCAGUAAAUGUGGAGCCGUAGCGAAAGCGAGUCUGAAUAGGGCGUUUAGUAUUUGGUCGUAGACCCGAAACCAGGUGAUCUACCCUUGGUCAGGUUGAAGUUCAGGUAACACUGAAUGGAGGACCGAACCGACUUACGUUGAAAAGUGAGCGGAUGAACUGAGGGUAGCGGAGAAAUUCCAAUCGAACCUGGAGAUAGCUGGUUCUCUCCGAAAUAGCUUUAGGGCUAGCCUCAAGUGAUGAUUAUUGGAGGUAGAGCACUGUUUGGACGAGGGGCCCCUCUCGGGUUACCGAAUUCAGACAAACUCCGAAUGCCAAUUAAUUUAACUUGGGAGUCAGAACAUGGGUGAUAAGGUCCGUGUUCGAAAGGGAAACAGCCCAGACCACCAGCUAAGGUCCCAAAAUAUAUGUUAAGUGGAAAAGGAUGUGGCGUUGCCCAGACAACUAGGAUGUUGGCUUAGAAGCAGCCAUCAUUUAAAGAGUGCGUAAUAGCUCACUAGUCGAGUGACACUGCGCCGAAAAUGUACCGGGGCUAAACAUAUUACCGAAGCUGUGGAUUGUCCUUUGGACAAUGGUAGGAGAGCGUUCUAAGGGCGUUGAAGCAUGAUCGUAAGGACAUGUGGAGCGCUUAGAAGUGAGAAUGCCGGUGUGAGUAGCGAAAGACGGGUGAGAAUCCCGUCCACCGAUUGACUAAGGUUUCCAGAGGAAGGCUCGUCCGCUCUGGGUUAGUCGGGUCCUAAGCUGAGGCCGACAGGCGUAGGCGAUGGAUAACAGGUUGAUAUUCCUGUACCACCUAUAAUCGUUUUAAUCGAUGGGGGGACGCAGUAGGAUAGGCGAAGCGUGCGAUUGGAUUGCACGUCUAAGCAGUAAGGCUGAGUAUUAGGCAAAUCCGGUACUCGUUAAGGCUGAGCUGUGAUGGGGAGAAGACAUUGUGUCUUCGAGUCGUUGAUUUCACACUGCCGAGAAAAGCCUCUAGAUAGAAAAUAGGUGCCCGUACCGCAAACCGACACAGGUAGUCAAGAUGAGAAUUCUAAGGUGAGCGAGCGAACUCUCGUUAAGGAACUCGGCAAAAUGACCCCGUAACUUCGGGAGAAGGGGUGCUCUUUAGGGUUAACGCCCAGAAGAGCCGCAGUGAAUAGGCCCAAGCGACUGUUUAUCAAAAACACAGGUCUCUGCUAAACCGUAAGGUGAUGUAUAGGGGCUGACGCCUGCCCGGUGCUGGAAGGUUAAGAGGAGUGGUUAGCUUCUGCGAAGCUACGAAUCGAAGCCCCAGUAAACGGCGGCCGUAACUAUAACGGUCCUAAGGUAGCGAAAUUCCUUGUCGGGUAAGUUCCGACCCGCACGAAAGGCGUAACGAUUUGGGCACUGUCUCAACGAGAGACUCGGUGAAAUCAUAGUACCUGUGAAGAUGCAGGUUACCCGCGACAGGACGGAAAGACCCCGUGGAGCUUUACUGUAGCCUGAUAUUGAAAUUCGGCACAGCUUGUACAGGAUAGGUAGGAGCCUUUGAAACGUGAGCGCUAGCUUACGUGGAGGCGCUGGUGGGAUACUACCCUAGCUGUGUUGGCUUUCUAACCCGCACCACUUAUCGUGGUGGGAGACAGUGUCAGGCGGGCAGUUUGACUGGGGCGGUCGCCUCCUAAAAGGUAACGGAGGCGCUCAAAGGUUCCCUCAGAAUGGUUGGAAAUCAUUCAUAGAGUGUAAAGGCAUAAGGGAGCUUGACUGCGAGACCUACAAGUCGAGCAGGGUCGAAAGACGGACUUAGUGAUCCGGUGGUUCCGCAUGGAAGGGCCAUCGCUCAACGGAUAAAAGCUACCCCGGGGAUAACAGGCUUAUCUCCCCCAAGAGUUCACAUCGACGGGGAGGUUUGGCACCUCGAUGUCGGCUCAUCGCAUCCUGGGGCUGUAGUCGGUCCCAAGGGUUGGGCUGUUCGCCCAUUAAAGCGGUACGCGAGCUGGGUUCAGAACGUCGUGAGACAGUUCGGUCCCUAUCCGUCGUGGGCGUAGGAAAUUUGAGAGGAGCUGUCCUUAGUACGAGAGGACCGGGAUGGACAUACCUCUGGUGUACCAGUUGUCGUGCCAACGGCAUAGCUGGGUAGCUAUGUGUGGACGGGAUAAGUGCUGAAAGCAUCUAAGCAUGAAGCCCCCCUCAAGAUGAGAUUUCCCAACUUCGGUUAUAAGAUCCCUCAAAGAUGAUGAGGUUAAUAGGUUCGAGGUGGAAGCAUGGUGACAUGUGGAGCUGACGAAUACUAAUCGAUCGAAGACUUAAUCA